AACGAGUUAGUAUAAUAAAUACCUUUAAUUUAGGCUUAAAAAAAGAAAUAUAAUCUCUACCCGUUA
Molecule: transfer RNA, 66 nt
Filed under: Pyganodon grandis (giant floater mussel)
Lineage: Eukaryota; Metazoa; Mollusca; Bivalvia; Unionida; Unionidae
Description: tRNA-Leu
Source: RNAcentral